Octopus sinensis (East Asian common octopus) is the source of this 167-nucleotide long non-coding RNA. RefSeq lists it as uncharacterized. NCBI's taxonomy places the organism in Eukaryota, Metazoa, Mollusca, Cephalopoda, Octopoda, Octopodidae. The transcript has 3 exons. The record is from RefSeq and is a predicted model, not a curated record.
GUGUGAGAGUUUUGCGCCUCUGAGUUUGUGUAUAUGUGUAUGUGUGUGUGCAUGUGUGUGAUGAAACGCACAAGAUUUCUAUCCUAUUUUUCUCUAUUUAUUUCUUUACUUCUUUAUUUGUCUAUGUAUUUGCUUAUUGAACAACAUAACGGGGAAACUACUUCAAU